GAGGAUAUAGCUCAAGUGUUAGCGCGCGUGCUUAGUAUACACAAGGUCCUGGGUUCAAUCCCCAGUACCUCCU
This is a transfer RNA of Camelus ferus (Wild Bactrian camel), 73 nucleotides long. It matches the Rfam family "tRNA". Rfam says of the family: Transfer RNA (tRNA) molecules are approximately 80 nucleotides in length. The record is from Rfam. Lineage: Eukaryota; Metazoa; Chordata; Mammalia; Artiodactyla; Camelidae.